GGGUGCAAUCAUACCAAUAUGAAUGCAUCGGAUCCCAUCGGAAUUCCGCAAUGAAACGUGUUUGGGCGAGAGUAGUACUAAGAUGGGGACUUCAUAGGAAGUCCUCAGAUUGCACCCA
Molecule: ribosomal RNA, 118 nt
Filed under: Gossypium hirsutum (cotton)
Lineage: Eukaryota; Viridiplantae; Streptophyta; Magnoliopsida; Malvales; Malvaceae
Source: RNAcentral